UACUCGGUGGUAUAGUGGUCAGUACUCCCGACUGCCACUCGGUAGUUCGGCGUUCGAUUACUACUCACCGGUGAGGUU
Molecule: non-coding RNA, 78 nt
Organism: Eumeta japonica
Lineage: Eukaryota; Metazoa; Arthropoda; Insecta; Lepidoptera; Psychidae
Source: the annotation of a GenBank genome assembly